This 29-nucleotide non-coding RNA is filed under the name Rattus norvegicus (Norway rat). Lineage: Eukaryota; Metazoa; Chordata; Mammalia; Rodentia; Muridae. The record is from RNAcentral.
UGUUUAUUCAACAGACCUGGCUAAUCUUC